Molecule: long non-coding RNA, 472 nt
Organism: Notolabrus celidotus (New Zealand spotty)
Lineage: Eukaryota; Metazoa; Chordata; Actinopteri; Labriformes; Labridae
Exons: 3
Source: RefSeq, a predicted model, not a curated record
CACGGAUGUUAUGAGCACUGAUAGGAAGUGCACACAACUGAUUUAUUGCACACUAAAGAGGAGAUGGAGUGUGGGAAAGUGUGGUUAAGGACGACUGAGCGCCCGAUGCACCGUUGGAUUGCAGAGGCUUGGCAGGCUGGCAGGCGCACACACCUACCUAACACUUUACUGAGAACAAAGUGGCGGAAAGGGAGGUAAAGUUUUGGGAUGGCGGCGCGUCGGUCAGUCUGCCCACACAGAGUGAGUUGGCACAACCAAACCAAACCCAUCCAUCAGGAAAAGGUUCAGCAGGGUGAGACCGAAUACAUGAAGAAGAUUAAAUUCUGACACGGAUGCUUCAUCAGUCCUGUUUGGACGACAGAUGGCUGGUCUGUGCGUCCAAAGCUGGACUCACACUGCAGGGUGACCGCUAGCUUCCUGAAUCAUACUCAUGGCUUUGUGUCUUUCACACAUAGGUCACUUUUAUGUUAAU